Molecule: non-coding RNA, 296 nt
Organism: Oryzias latipes (Japanese medaka)
Lineage: Eukaryota; Metazoa; Chordata; Actinopteri; Beloniformes; Adrianichthyidae
Source: RefSeq, a predicted model, not a curated record
CUACCUUCCCCCUCCCCUCUCUGCCCUGAUCACGACCAGCUGGUUCCACUCACCUCAUCAACCUGCAUCAUUCGACGCCAGUUCGUUGUUCCUCUACGGAAAAAACCUCCACGGGUGCUCCUCUGGUCGCAGUCUGCUGUUCAUGCUCCUCGUCUGUUCCUGGGAUCCAGCUUCAUCCAAGCUCACUGGUUUCUGCCUCAAUACCCUCCAGCCUGCCGCGCCUACGCAUCAAGAUCCUUCUUACCUCAAGUCUGCUCAUUCACUGGCUGUGAAUUAAAUCCCUCAUACUUACCAGA